RNAcentral lists this ribosomal RNA (492 nucleotides) under uncultured bacterium. Its description in RNAcentral is "partial 16S ribosomal RNA". It matches the Rfam family "Bacterial small subunit ribosomal RNA", at positions 29 to 507 of the family's 1533-position model. The record is from RNAcentral.
AGUGAACGCUGGCGGUAGGCCUAACACAUGCAAGUCGAACGGCAGCACAGUAAGAGCUUGCUCUUACGGGUGGCGAGUGGCGGACGGGUGAGGAAUACAUCGGAAUCUACUUUUUCGUGGGGGAUAACGUGGGGAAACUUACGCUAAUACCGCAUACGACCUACGGGUGAAAGCAGGGGAUCUUCGGACCUUGCGCGAUUGAAUGAGCCGAUGUCGGAUUAGCUAGUUGGCGGGGUAAAGGCCCACCAAGGCGACGAUCCGUAGCUGGUCUGAGAGGAUGAUCAGCCACACUGGAACUGAGACACGGUCCAGACUCCUACGGGAGGCAGCAGUGGGGAAUAUUGGACAAUGGGCGCAAGCCUGAUCCAGCCAUACCGCGUGGGUGAAGAAGGCCUUCGGGUUGUAAAGUCCUUUUGUUGGGAAAGAAAAGCAGCAGGUUAAUACCCCGCUGUUCUGACGGUACCCAAAGAAUAAGCACCGGCUAACUUCGUG